RNAcentral lists this non-coding RNA (638 nucleotides) under Pongo abelii (Sumatran orangutan). The record is from RNAcentral. Lineage: Eukaryota; Metazoa; Chordata; Mammalia; Primates; Hominidae.
GGAAGAAGGAAUCAGGAGGCAGAGCACAUGGUUAAAGCAUGAGAUGUGAAACCAGGAAGAACCAGGUCUGAAUCUUAGCUCCACCAGUGGUAGCUCCAAACCUUAGUCCUUUCUGAGCCUGCUUCUUCAACCCUAAGGUGUGAUUACAUUGAGCAGUAACAGCAAAACCUGAAAGAGAAUGGAUACAGGUGUUCAUUUCAGAUGGUACAAGUUUAACAAGGUACAAGAGCAACUUAAGGAAUUCGGAAACGGGACCCAGAAAGUUGUUUCCUGCAAGUGGCUGGAACAACACAAGCAAUAAGUAUCCUGAAACAGGCCCUGUUCCAACAAACUGACCCAGAAAGAGGUUACACCAAUUAUCUCUCCAGCAAGUAUGAGGAAUCCUGUUUCCCUACGUUCUCACUACGACAGCAGGAUAUCAAACAUUGAUAUCCACCAAUCUCUGGAUGGAAAAACAAAUCUCAGGAAUCGCUUGCAGGAGGCUCUGCACGUUCCUCAGAUUCAGAGUCGCUGUCCUUUUGCCUGUGAAGCUCCUCACUUUCAGAGUCACUAGCAUUAAGAUUUAAGGGCUCAUCAUUCUCAGAGUCUGUCACAUGAUGUCCUUUGGGGAGGCCAUCUUCUCGAUCACUAGUUUCAUU